Molecule: unclassified non-coding RNA, 345 nt
Filed under: soil metagenome
Description: partial contains 5.8S ribosomal RNA, internal transcribed spacer 2, and large subunit ribosomal RNA
Rfam family: 5.8S ribosomal RNA (bases 1-120)
Source: RNAcentral
GAUGAAGAACGUAGUGAAAUGCGAUACGUAAUGUGAAUUGCAGAAUUCAGUGAAUCAUCGAGUCUUUGAACGCACAUUGCGCCCCCUGGUAUUCCGGGGGGCAUGCCUGUCCGAGCGUCAUUGCUGCCCUCAAGCACGGCUUGUGUGUUGGGCCUCCGUCCUCCUCCCGGGGGACGGGCCCGAAAGGCAGCGGCGGCACCGCGUCCGGUCCUCGAGCGUAUGGGGCUUCGUCACCCGCUCUUGUAGGCCCGGCCGGCGCUUGCCGACACAUCAAUCUUUUUUCCAGGUUGACCUCGGAUCAGGUAGGGAUACCCGCUGAACUUAAGCAUAUCAAUAAGUGGAGGA